AGUGUAAUGUUCAGUGUUCCAUCCAAUAUUGAGAGCUCGAAUUCACAUGUCAUUUUGUUGAAGUUCCUAACAGAUGCCGAGGAAAUAGAAAUGGCCCUUGAACACAUAAAAUGGAUUAAGCGCUGCUGCAGCUCUACGUUUCAGGGCAUAAUGAACGAACUGAUGGCUUCUCUUUCGACUUCUGCUAGUCUUCAACCUGUCACAAAGUUGGUUCGUUAUUUACAUUCUCAGGGGCUUGUUGACGAAGUUGGCCCAUGGAUGAAGAUGAUAGAGAAUGUUUAUGCUUGAAUAACAAUUUCAAUGGUUACCAUAUCAUGACAUCGUAUGAGUUAUCCAUUUUGCUAAUCAGGCCAGAAGUGUCUGGGAUCAUUGGAGGUUUUGUGCUGCUGCUCUAUGUCUAUGCUCCUAUUCCAACAGAAACAUAGAAACCUGGUGUUAUGCUUGGCUGAUAUGAUGUGGCAAUGGCUCGGGAUGACAUUCAGCGAGUGUAAUGAAUUUACCUUUAUCCAAUGAGCAACUCAUAAUAAUGAUACUGCCGCUAUAGUGGGUAUAACAGUGGCAGGGAUGGCAGGUCAGAAUGAUUUCUAUGGCGCUGUAGUGGAUUCUCAUGCUGACCAGGUCCAUUGUGGUAUAGAAAGUGAAGGCAAUUCUUGUUCAUCUCAUCUCCUCCUGAUCCAGAUGAUAAAUGAAUUUCUUUGAGGGAUGCAGCACUGAUCACUGCAAUAUUUGUGUCUGGGUGACAUUUUCAAGAUUGCGUCCUACAUGGCAUCUAAGGUCCCUGCUGUGGAUUCAGCUUGAUUUACGAUAUGAAGACAAGGGCUUAUGCUGCACUCCAUUUCAGAAUUGCGCGUCAAGUUUCUUUGGUUGGGCCAGAUAUUCUCUGAUCUGAUUAUGUGUGUUUUUCAAUAUUUUAGAUGGCUUGGUAGAUUAUUCAUAAAUACUCAUAGGUGUGGUUCAUGAUUUUUUUUUUGAUACUUCUCAUGUAUCUUUAUAGACACAGAACUAUAAGAAAGCAGGGUCAAUAAUUGUAAUUCCUACUUACCCUGUA
Long non-coding RNA from Lolium perenne, 1048 nucleotides. RefSeq lists it as uncharacterized. NCBI's taxonomy places the organism in Eukaryota, Viridiplantae, Streptophyta, Magnoliopsida, Poales, Poaceae. The record is from RefSeq and is a predicted model, not a curated record.